This is a long non-coding RNA of Dromiciops gliroides (monito del monte), 530 nucleotides long. RefSeq lists it as uncharacterized. The record is from RefSeq and is a predicted model, not a curated record. Lineage: Eukaryota; Metazoa; Chordata; Mammalia; Microbiotheria; Microbiotheriidae. The transcript is spliced from 4 exons.
UCCCGCCCGCAGAUGCUCCAGUCGCCAGCGUAGCGGUUGCUAGGGGGGCUCUCGGGCCCACCCCGGUCUCGGGGCCGGGUCACCACUUCGGGCUCCCCCAGCGGCAGUUCCAGCAGGGGCUGCCGCUUCGGGCGGAGUGUGAGAAGGCAGUGCCAGUUGAAGAAUUCAAGGAGACAGUGAAGUUCACAAGACCUGAGAAUAUUUGGAAUGUUAUUAAUAUGUUAGGUGACACUCUGUGAAGUGGUUUCAUGGUCAAAAUCCAGGUAGAAGACAGAGGAUCAGCUGAAGCAGAGUCAAUGUUGAGCCACUACAAAUGGAUCAGGAAGAUGGAAACAGGACUGAGCUGAGCAGGAAGAUUUUCGAGGACAAACCAGGGUCAGAAGACACAGGAGAGGAGCAAACUCAGGACCAUCCAUUCAAAGAUACCACUCUGAGUACAAUGUGUGCUCUAUUGAAGCAGCUUUUUAAUGAUGAUGUAACGAUUGGAAUGAUGCCACCUGCUGGAGACUUACUGUAGAAGAGUUCCGCCC